CCUCAUUUUUGGUGCCAAUGAAAGAGCUUGAUUUGCCUGCCAAAAUCAAGUAAUAGAUAAAAUGAUAAAUUAAUGAUUCCAUCUAAUCACACAUGCACACUUAGAAAGAAAAGAUGUAUUUUUUUCAUGGUGGUGUCAACUGGAUUAUCAAGUUGUUGGAGUACAACAAUGACAAAAGAAUGUUCUAUUGGUCAUCCAGUUUGAUGAUGUUCAGUAAUCUUCUUUGAGCAUCUCAAUGAUGAACCGUGAGAAGAAAAAAUGAUAGAAGUUGGAAUCAUACGCUUUCUUUGGGAAUUAGGGCAUUCCCAAGAAUCGGACUGAAAUUUGUGCAUUUAUCAACAAGUUACCCAUUAGAAAUAAAGCAAUGACUAUUGAAAAGGGAGAAAAUAAUGAGGGAAAUUCAAUACAUAUAUCUAAGUAACAUCCUACGUGCAUUCUCUUUUAUAUCCGCAAGUUAAAUAAAUCUCAUAUCUCUACUUCUAUUGUAGCUUUAUCUUUUUACUCUUUGGCCUAUUUUAUAUUUCUUCUGAGUAUUGUCUUACUAUGCUAAUUUGCAACCCAUCAUGAUUCAAAAUGCAUAAUCAUGAAUCGGUUCUUGCUAACUGGUUAGGAGUACACAGAACAGAAGAUAUGAGUGAAUUAUAGGGGUGUUCGCGGUCCAUUUGGAUCGGUUUUUAGACAAAAAAUGAUCCGAUCCAAACACGUAAUUAACAUGCGGUCUGGAUCGGUCUGGUCUAUUUAUAUUAAGAUGUCCGAUCCAAUCCGAUCCAAAUAUAAUAUGCGGUUUCGGUUCGGUUUGGAUUGGUUUUUUUUAUAAAAUAUUAAAAUUACACUUAUAUUCAAAACUCAUAAAAAUGACUAAAUAUUAAGCAUAAAACAACAAUAAAAAUAGUGUUCAACAACAUUAAAAUAUGUACAACAAUAGUAUAAGUAAACAACAUCAUAAAGUAGUAAUAAACAAUAAGACAAUAAUAAUAAAAGUAUAAAAUAGUAACAACAACAACAAGAUAUCAAUAAUAACAAGACAACAAAACAACAAGAUAUCAAUAAUAAUAAUAUGAGCAUCGGUAACGUAAUUUUAAUAGUUACAAUAUUCCACCGAUGAUUAAUAACAAUAAUACUUUCACAACAAUAAUACUUGAAUCCUCUUUAUUUGGUUAUGGGAUUGAUUUAAGUUCUAAAAAAGUGUAUCAAAUAUAAUCAAUAUGAUUUAAAACAUAGCAACAUAUAUAAGUGUGUUAUAGAAUAUAACACCUAAAAUAUAGGUACAAUUUUGGAGUUGCGACUUAAGAUUAAGUUUGGAAGACACUUAAAAGUAUUACACACUUAAAUUUUACAUACAAUUUUGGUCCGGUCUGGAUCCAAGAGGUGAAACCAAAAUCCGGACCGGACCAAUCGGUCUUUAAAAAAUAAGUCCAACACGGUCCAAAUGCAUUCGGUUUUUGCGGUUUCGGUCUAUUUUGGAUCAGUUUUCGGUUUUAUUGUUGGACCGGUCUGGAUUUGAACACCCGUAGUGAAUUAUACCACUAGGAUAGAUAGGUCAUUAUAAAGGGGAGGGAUCCACUUACUCCAAGAGUAAGUUUUUUAAACUUAUUCCUCAUCCUAACUCUUAAUUCUAGAGAAAUUCAAUGAUUUGAAUUAAUGAGUAGAUCUAAAUUAUUAAAUGCUCAUAGAAUGGAUGGCUAUAAUGAGAAAUAAAUUUAAAAAAUUUACUCUUGGAAUAUGAAGAUCCUCAUUCCAUAUAAAUUUCAUUAUCACUAUAUUUGCAACAUGAUUCUUAAAAAUGUGGAGGCACAAACACUAAAUAGUUAUAUAUUUUUAUAUAUUUGGAGAGCAAUAACUGGCAUUAAAAUUGCCUCAACUCUCAACAUGAAAGCAUCUUAAGAUAAAAGCAAUUGUUCUCUUUAACAUUCAUUAGCUAUGAUAGUGUUCCUAUAACACAUACUAAAAUAAUCAGUGAAAGACCCAGGAAUUCACCAUGUGUAUUAGAAAUCAAACAGUAAGAAAAGAAUGUGGAAAUUGAUUUUAUUCUCAUUAAUUGACAUAUGAAGUCGAUAUGACUUAUUUAUACAUAUGAAAUGGCAUAUGAUCCAAGCAAAAAUGAUACAAAGGUAAAAAACUAACUAGCUAGGUUCCUAAUAAGCUAACCAACUUCUAAAAUAUAUUUCAUACCCCCUCAAGCUGGUGAGUGAAAUUUUUUAACUCUCAGCUUUGAAUCUUGAUUUCAAGCAAUAAUAACGUUUAACCACCCAUAACAAAAACAAUAUCAUCCAACACUUAACCAUUCAUGGUAAAAACUAUAUCUUAACUUAACCAUCAUGGAAAGAAGAAAAUCAUUCAUGGCAGAAGUUAUAUUUAAGUUUAACCACCAUGGGUAGAAGCAACCCAACCAUUAAUGACGAAAGAAAGAAAAAUGGAUCGGAAUUUUGAUGCAAAUAUGCAGCUUCAUUGAUGUAAAAUACACACUAUAAUGAUAUUAUGUGUUUGUGAGAGAGAUAAGAAAUUGAGUAGAAAUAAGUUGAUAUGCCUUAUCAAGUAAACCAGCACUACCCAAGAGAUCAACCAUGCAUCCAUAAUGAUGGAUAUUGGGAGUUAUCCCAAACUCUCUGCCCAUACGUUAAAAAAAAGACAUUUCCUCAUGCAUUUGCUUCACUUUCCUUACCAUAUUGGUGAGUAUUAAAAUUCUUUUCCUUUGAAACAAAGCACUCUGAUCUGUUUCUCCUUCCAUUUCUUGAUAUUCCACCAGAAAAUCUUCAAGAAAUAGCAAAUUUGUCAGCUCUUCUGUCAAUCCAUUAAUCUCAGAAUUCUGAAAUCCAUUCCUAUCACUUUUAUUUUCUACCUGAAAGCUGAAGAUGUAUCUGAGUAUCAACCCCAAGGAAUAAAACACAUAGUUCAAGAAGAAAAUUGGCAAACAAGCCAAGGUUCAAAGCAUGUUUCCAAUAACAAGAUCACUCAUAAACCAUAUAUUGAUUGAUUCUAUAUGUGCUUUGAGCAUAACAAGAUUCUUGGCACCCAUCACUGUUCAAUUAAUUCCAAUCUACACCUCUGAUAAUGUUUUUUUUUUUAAUUUCCUAAAAAUUUCAGAGCAAAUUAUAAGGAAAAGAAAACCUGGGGCUUGAAAAUUUUCCCAUCAAAGAUUCAUGAUGAGGUAGUGAGAUCUGCCCACUAGUGCCCAUAAAAUUCAGUGGUAGAAUAUGAUUUGGACAUAAUUUGAUUUUGGACCAAAAGAAUGAGAGGAUUGUGCAGUGACGAGCACCACGCUUCCUUGGGAGAAAUCCAAGAGAAACGUGUCUUAGGUGUUCAGACUUAGACAUUCUUCCCCUCCUGAAGUUGCUCCUGCAGCUACUGAAAUGCGAAGCUCAAAGGCAGUGAAUCUUGCAAAUAAAGAGUAGAAACCAAAGUACUGAGUAACCCAAUAUGCCAAUAAAGUAUUGGAAUAGACCAUACACCCCAUUGAUUCAGCUGUGGAGAAACCACUGCCUUCUCUAGCAUCACUGAUUCUUGAAGAUAGUGAUAGAUAAGAAAGUUGAUCUUGAGGGAGGUAAUGGAAGUCAACUUUAAAAAGAAAGAUUCAGGCCAAAUCAUAACAUAGAUGUAGAAGAUGCAUUAAGGCUACACCAUAAACUACAAUAAAGUUUACUGGUUCAUCAUCCUUGGAUGAUGAUAAAAGGAAAAGGAAAGGAUAAAGGCAUAAGCGGAGGUCAUUAAAUGUAUAAUUAUUGUUCUAAUAUCAUAUUAGAAAUCAAAGAGUAAGAAGAGAAUGUGGAAAUUGAUCUUAUUCUCGCUAAUUGAAAUGUGAAAUCAAUAUGACUUAUUUAUAUAAAUAGAAUGACCUGUGAUCCAAGGGAAAAUGAUACAAAAUUAAAAAAACUAGCUAACUAGCUUAGUGAUCACCUAAUCACCUUCUAAAAUAUCUUCAAUAAUGUGAGACAACAUAUAUAUGAAUUAAUAUCAUGCUUAUCAAAUAUAACAUACAAAAAUAUUCAUUAAGGGGAAGAUGGUUAAUCUGAUUUUGAUUUUGAUUUUUAUUGUAAUUGAUGCACUAAAUUUUACAUGGAUGGUUGCUCUGAUGUUAAUUUUCUUCUAAAAUAUUUUUUUAUUGUUAGAACUACAAAUCAAUAUAAGGAUAACUAUAAUUAACCAUGACAUAUAGAUAUGCAAAAUAGAAAAAGAUAGAGUAAAGAGAAUUAUAAAAGGUAAAGUAAAAUCCACAAAUUCAAAAAUGAAUUUAACCUAUUAUUACAAAAAUAAUGACAAUUUUAUAAAAGACAAAAUGCCCAACCUAACCUUGAAGAGUUGAAGCUUAAAAGCAUGCUCAAGAUAAAAUGGCCAACCUAACCUAAACAUGUUCUUAUACAGAUUAGAUAAAUAAAAAAUGAAAUUUUGUGAGUGCACUUAUCUUAUGUGAUAUCUAUGUACUUCUUCAUAAUUUUAUAUAAUAUAAAGUAUGCUUAAAUAGUAGCCGAUAUGAAAAGACAAUUUAUUUUAACAAUCUCUAACUAGAAAAUAUGAGAGAUAGUUGUUAAGCUUGAUAUAUUCUGACUUGUUGUCUACUUCUUGCAGGGUACAACAGAAGCACUAUGACAUGCACUAGAAUGAUGAGGAACUUGAGCAUAGGAUUGAGCAGCAUGAGGAGCUUAGCAUGGAAUGCAUCGUGAAGAUGGAAAGCUUGAAGGCAUACAUCAUAAGCUUAAAGAAUAUGGUCCUUUAGUCAAGUAUGGUGAUCAAAUAUCAUUAACCAAAGCACACAUUAAUGAUCAUGCCUUAGUUAAAUUGUAUGGGCAAAUACAUCAAUCAUGGUCGAAUUGCAUAACUGAAAUUCACCAAAAUAAGACAAGACACUCAGCCUUAAUUCAUGAAUACAAGGGUAGACAUAGCCUCGGUCAGAUUGGGAGGACCAUGAUGCAUCAACAUUUCAGCCAAGUUUUACUUGUGCAUCAAGGCAUUUGUAUUUGCAUUUUCAUUUUUGUAGUUAUUGUUAUAGGAAUUUUGUUAUGGAUAAGUUAGUUAUUUGAGUUAGUUAAGUUUGUUUUAUUUUCCAAUGAUAUAUUUAAUCAAUCAUUGCUUGUACAUUGAGAUCAAUCUAAUGAGAAUUAUAUUUUGAAGUUCAAUAUUUUUUUCCAAUCUUUCUUCAUUCUCUCUUCUCUUUGUGAUUCAAGAACAAAGCCAUGGAUGUCAUUUUCAUAAGAUGGUAUCAGAGCAUCUAUUGAUGCUCUACUACACCCUUGUUUUUCAUCUCUUAUUUAUGUUUCUAUCCCUAUCCUAUUUCACCAUCUUCUUUCCUUUUUCGUUAUGGCUAAUGGUGUCACCAUUCUCAACCCCUUCAAUGACCCUACCAGUCCCUUCUAUAUGCAUCCCAAUGAAAACCCAGGGUUUGCUCUGGUUACUCACCCUCUAACAGGAAAUAACUAUCACUCCUGGUCCAAGGCAAUGAAGAUGGCUUUGAAGACCAAGAACAAGCUUCAAUUCAUAGAUGGAUCACUACCCAAACCAACAUCCAUUGAUCCAUCCUUUGCAGUAUGGGAUAGAUUCAACAUACUAGUACUCUCAUGGAUAAAUCAAUCCAUUGAUCAAUCAAUUCUUGAAAGUGUCUUCUGGUAUGAAUCAUCUUUUGAAGUCUAGAAGGAUCUGAAGGAAAGGUAUUACCAAGGUGAUGUUUUUCGAAUUUGCAAUGUUCAAGAAGAAAUUUAUGGUGUUAGACAGUGAAAUAGAUCUAUUGAUGCUUACUAUACUCAUCUAAAAGGAUUAUGGCAGGAACUAGAUAACUUUAGGCCUAUUCCUUGUUGCCCAAUCCAAUGUGAUUCUAAUCUUGCUAAUCUUGUUAGAUCCUAUAGAGAGAAUGACUAUGUCAUUAGAUUCUUAAGGGGACUUAAUGAGCAAUACUCUGUUGUUAGGUCCCAAAUCAUGUUCAUGGAGCCUUUGUCCUCCAUAAACAAGGCAUUUUUCCCGGCUUAUCCAACAAGAAACUGAAAUGAUGCCAAUUAACAACCCUCUUUGUGACACUAAAAUCCUUGCCAACACUGCUAAUGAAAUUAAUAAUAGAGCAAGAUUUAGAGGAAGGGGAUACUCUUCCAAUAUUGGAAUAGGAAAGGGGUAUGGUUUCACAAUGGGAGAGGAAGAGGCUCUUCAAACACUAAAGUGUGUUCUUUCUGCAACAAAACUAGGCACAUUAUGGACACAUGUUAUAAGAAACAUGGCCUCCCUCCUCAUUUCAAGAAAGCCAAUAAUAUCAAUAAUAUUGUUCGUUCUAGUGAAGAAGAGACUCAAAGCAUUAAAGAAGGCCUAGAGGUGUUCACUACAGAACAGCAUAAGGCCAUUAUGACCAUGAUCAAAAAACCUGUCAAUCAUCAAGUUAACCAAAUCACUAACUAGGUCACUAGUGUGGACUCUCUCAAUACAGGUAACUCUAAUAUAAUGAAUUGCACUACAAAAUCUAAGGACUCGGUCCUUGAUACUGGAGCAACAAAUCAUGUUUGCUUCAAUUUGUAUGAAUUUCAAUCUUAUAUGAGAAUUGGCCCUAUACAAAUUAGGCUGCCCAAUGGUAGUGAGGUCAUGAGCACUAUUGCUGGAACUGUCAUGUUUUCGAAAGACCUUUGUUUAAGCAAUGUGCUUUACAUAUCCAACUUCACUUUCAAUCUGAUUUAUGUACUAGCUUGACCUCAACCUUAAAUUGCAAAUUAACUUUCACCAACUCCAAAUGUGUGAUGCAGGAGAAAUCCACAUUGAGGAUGAUUGGUGCAGCUGAGGCAAAAAGGGGUUUAUACAUCAUCAAUUCUGAAAAAUUAUCUUUUAGCCUAAGUAAUUGCAUAGAUGUUGUUGAAAAUAAUGGAACCAAUGAUAUUGACAAUAAUGAUCUAUGACAUAAGAUAUUAGGCCAUCCCUCUAAUGCCAAGCUUUCUACUUUGAAUAAGAUGUUUUCUUUCAUUCAUCAUAGAAAAGAUAAUGUGCCUUGUGAUGUUUGUCAUUAUGCUAAACAAAGAAAACUUACCUUUAAAACUAACACAACUAAGUCUACUCACAUCUUUGAUCUCAUUCAUAUUGACAUAUGGGCCCCUAUAUCUAUUCCUUCAAUCUUAGGACAUAGAUAUUUUCUCACUAUAGUUGAUGACAAGUCAAGACACACCUAAUUAUUUUUUAUGAAAACAAAAUCAGAAACUUCUUUACUUGUAAAAUCCUUUGUCAAUAUGAUCUGAUAAUGGCCCUGAGUUUAAUCUGAGUGAUUUCUAUGAUUCCAAAGGCAUAAUUCAUCAAACUAGUUGUGUGGAAACUCCUCAACAAAAUGGAGUUGUUGAGAGAAAACAUCAACACAUAUUAGGUGUUACUAGAGCCUUAAUGUACCAAUCUGCUAUGCCAAAAUGCUUCUAGAAUUAUGGAGUUGCCCAUGAUGUCUAUCUUAUCAAUGGACAACCUUUCACUUAUCUCAACAACAGAUUUCCCUAUGAGAUUCUCUAUAACCAUGAACCAAAUCUAUUGAACCUUAAAAGUUUUGGAUGUCUCUGCUUUGCUUCUAUCCUAAGCAACAAUAGAAAGAAGCUUGAUCCUAGAGCAAGGAAAUGUGUGUUCAUAGGAUUUAAGCAUGAGGUAAAGGGAUACAUACUAUUUGAUUGCAUGACUAAGGAAAUUUUCUUGUUUAGAAAUGUGAAGUUUUAUGAAAAUGUUUUCCCUUUCACCAAUAAUAAUGAUCAGUCUAAUGAAGAUAUAUCUCUUCCUACAUCUUCUUUCAAUAUCAAAGAUCAUUAUCUUGGUCAUGAUUGCAUACCUGCUUUACCUGUCAUGGAUGAAAAUAAUAAUUCCGUUGUUACUGCUUCUGACAAUGAUAUACCUGACUUAAAUGAUUGUGAUGAAUGUAUGGAUUAAAACAACAAUAGAAAUGAAAAUUUGAGAAGGUCAUCUAGGGAAAGAACUAUCCAUACCUACCUAAGAGAUUAUCAUUUGUCUCUAGGAGCUUCUGCACCCUUAAGAGCCAAGAAGGAAGUUCAGCAUCCCUUAGACCAAGUCAUAUCCUAUGAAAGGCUCUCUUGUAGUCAGAAAAACUAUUAGUCUGACCAUUAGCUCUAACAUUGAACCAGAAAGUUAUAGUGAAGCCAUUAAGCAUCCUUAGUGGGUUGAAGCCAUUAGAACUGAGUUAAAAUCUCUUGAAGAAAACAACGGUUGGGUUCUAACAGAACUUCCAGAAGAUAAAAGAGACAUAGGCUGCAAAUGGAUUUGUAAGAUUAAGCAUCAUGCUGAUGGUAGUAUUGAAAGGCAUAAGGCUAUAUUAGUUGCAAAAGGGUAUAUUCAUACUGCAGGAAUUGAUUACCUUGACACUUUUAGCCCUGUAGUAAAAAUAACCACCAUCAGAACCAUAAUUGCCUUAGCCUCUAUGAAAGGAUGACAUCUACAUUAGUUGGAUGUUAAUACAGUUUUUCUACAUGGUGAUCUAAUUGAAAAGGUUUAUAUGAACCUUCAUCCUGGCCUUGAAAUUCCUAAUGACGCUCUUGUUUGUAAGUUAGAAAAGUCUUUGUAUAGUUUAAAGCAAGCAAGUAGGCAGUGGAAUGCCAAACUCACUGUUGUUUUGAUUCAAUCUGGCAAUGCUCAAUCCAGAGCAGAUUAUUCUCUUUUUACCAAGAUAAAUGGUGAUGAUUAUACUAUUAUCCUUGUAUAUGUAGAUUACCUUAUUGUUGCAGGAAAUAAUCUAAAAGAAAUAGAAAACAUUAAGCAUCUGCUUGACAGAAAAUUUAGCAUCAAAGACCUUAGAAGUUUGAAAUAUUUCCUUAGUAUGGAAGUGGCAAGGAACAAAACUAAAAUCAACUUAUAUCAAAGGAAGUAUGCUUUGGAUUUGCUUCAGGAAUUUGGUUUGUUAGCUUGUAAACCUUCAUCUAGUCCUAUGGACAACAAUGCUAAACUACAUAGCAAUUUUGGUCCCUUGUAUUGUGACAUUACUUCAUAUAGAAGAUUAAUUGGUAAGCUUGUCUACCUCACUCACACUAGACCUGAUGUUUCCUUCCAUGUUGGACACCUAAGUCAAUUCUUAGCAGCACCUAUUGUUGCUCAUUAUAAAGCUGCUCAAAGAAUACUUAGAUACAUAAAGGGAUCCCCAAGGAAAGGAUUAUUUUUUCCUACUGAAAACAUUGUCUCUUUAAAGGGAUAUAGUGACUCAGAUUGGGCUUCUUGUCUUGACACAAGAAGAUCUGUCACUGGCUAUUGUUUCUUUCUUGGAGAUGCCUUAAUCUCAUGGAAAAGUAAUAGGCAAAGGACUGUGUCAAAGUCUUCUACUGAAGCUUAGUAUAGAGCCUUAACUUUAACUGGUUGUGAGGCACAAUGGUUAAUUUAUAUGCUUGAUGAUUUAAAGCUUUCUCAUAUAGGUCCUAUGGUAUUGUAUUGUGAUAAUCAAUCAGCUUUGCAUAUAGCUGCCAAUCCUGUGUUCCAUGAGAGGACUAAGCACAUUGAAAUGGAUUGUCAUUCUAUUAGAGAGAAGGUGUUGGAUGGUGUAGUGCAUAUGCUACCUAUUUCUAUCCAAGAACAAGUGGCUAACAUCUUUACCAAGGCUCAAUCCCCUACCAUUUUUUCUAAAAAUCUGUCCAAACUUGGAUUGUGUAAUAUACACAUUCCAACUUGUGGGGGAUGUUAAACUUGAUAUAUUCUGACUUAUUGCCUACUUCUUGCAGGGUACAACAUAAGCACUAUGACAUGCACCAGAAUGAUGAGGAACUUGAGCAUAGGAUUGAGGAGCAUAAGGAGCUUAGCAUUGGAAUGUAACAUGAAGAUGGAAAGCUUGAAGAAUAUGGUCCUUUAGUCAAGUAUGGUGAUCAAAGAUCAUUAACCAAAGCACACAUUGAUGAUCAUGCCUUAGUUAAAUUGUAUGGGAAGAUACAUCAACCAUGGUUGAAAUGCAUAACUGAAAUUCAUCAAAAUAAGACAAGACACUCAACCUUGAUCCAUGAAUACAAGGGUAGACAUGACCUCGGUCAGAUUGGGAGGACCAUGAUGCAUCAACAUUUCAUCCAAGUUUUACUGUGCAGCAAUGCAUUUGUAUUUGCAUUUUUGUAGUUAUUGUCUAUGAAACACAGAUACGGAUACGUAUCCGAUACGUCGACACGUAUUUUUUUUAAAAUGUAGGAUACGAUACGUUCAGGGAUACGCGUAUAAAUUAAUAAAAAAUACAUAAAAUAUGAUAAUAAAAUAUGAUAAAAUUAUAAGUGUAAAUCCUCUUCUUCUCUCCUACCCUCUUUCUUCUCUUCUCUAUUAAGAAAUAAAGGUAAGUCCUUUAUUUAUCUUCUCUAUUAAUACUCACACAUCCUCUUCUCUUUAUAAACAUACUAAGCGAAAAGAAACUAAGAAAUAAGAAAGGUAAGCUUUUUUCUAUUUGCUCUUCACAAUAUACCUAUGGCGGUAGAGGCAGUAACACUAAGCACCGGCCGACGACAUUAUGGAUAAGAAAGUACUAGUUAUUCGAGGGUCAAUGUGGUGUAAUGGUAAGUUGGUAUGAUGUGACUUUUAAAUAAGUGAGUGUUUAUUGAAAACAAAUCUAUCUUAUCAUAAAAACGAAUCUAUAUAUCCUAUAUUUUAUUGAAAACGAAUCUGAUACGUGUCUUGAUAUUUUAUUUUAUUUUUUAUUUUUAGAUACUCUAUGGACACGUAUCCUUCGUGAAUCUGAGUGUAUCCGUGUCGGAUACGUGUCAGACACGACACGCGAGGGUAUUUGGCGAAUUCGUGCUUCAUAGGUUAUUGUUAUAGGAAUUCUGUUAUGGAUAAGUUAGUUUUUGAUUUAGUUAAGUUUGUUUUGUUUCCCAAGGAUGUAUUUAAUCAAUCAUUGCUUGUACAUUGAGAUCAAUCUAAUCAGAAUUAUUUUGAAGUUCAAUAUUUCUUCCAAUAUUUCUUCAUUCUCUCUUCUCUUUAUCAUUCAAGAACAAAGCCAUGGAUGCCAUUUUUAUAAGAAUAGUCAAACAUAUAUUUAAUAUUCUAAUCUCCAACUUGAAUAUAAUAAAGAAAAUGGAAAAAAAUUAUUCCUUUUCAUGAAGGGACAAGAAUAAACAACCACAAAGUUCAUAUAUGCUAAAAUAAAAGCUAAGAAAUUAAUAUAAUAUUGAGAAACAAAAGAGAGCGGAUAGCAUGCAUGACUUACCUGAUUGUUGAGUGAAGCAAAAUAGGAGGAAUCCUCAAUGACUUCAUCAAUCUGCUUCUUUUUUGUUUCCCCUAUAUUGUUGUUUGUUCUUUCUUUUUGUUGUUCAUUGUUUUUUGGUUCAGUUGGUCUCUCCCUUUUUCCCUUAGGCUACAUGUUACGGUUGGUAAUGUUGUUAGACAAAGAGAAUACAAAAAUUAACAACACUUCACUUUCUCCGCAAUAAUGGAGUAGUGUGAAAAAUAUUUCCAAAAUAUCUGAAUUUAAAUAAUGAUAUAUAAAUAUUAUGGAUGAUAUAUGAAACAAUGUAUCAGAUGGUCCGUUGGUUGUGUACAUUGGCACAUUUUUUGAAUGAUACUACAUAUAUUUACAUACCUCAAGUUCGAGAUUGUGAAGAUUAUGCAGAAUUUUAAACUGAUAUUGUGAAUAUAUGCUAAAAGUAUAAUAAAUCUUCUUCUUACCCUUUAUUAUGCAAUUUUUCUUUUGAUAGUAAAGGAAAUUUCAU
Molecule: long non-coding RNA, 11606 nt
Filed under: Lupinus angustifolius (narrow-leaved blue lupine)
Lineage: Eukaryota; Viridiplantae; Streptophyta; Magnoliopsida; Fabales; Fabaceae
Description: long non-coding RNA (LANG_LNC003687)
Source: RNAcentral